GGGUCUUUAUAGCAUUGAAAAGUAUUGCUAGCUAUACCAGUAACAAUGGAAUAGUAUAUAAUAACUGGAAGGACAUAUGGACAGGAACAAUAAAGGCACUUCAGUAUAGGAUUGCUGAAGACACUGGAUAUGAACUGCUAAGCACUUUAUUGCUGUUAAAAUUUAUUAAGACGGUAGAAGUGGAUGCUUGGAAAAUCAUUUGUUUGACCACACCAUCAAAAUCGGUUAUUUCUUUCAUUCGUUCACUGCUUGCUCAUCACAAGAUACCAGAGUCACUUACAAUUUCAUUACCACACACCAUCAAUGAGGACUCACCACUCCCCCUUCUCUCCUUGUCAUCAUCCUCCUCUUCCUACCAGUACAGGAUUACACUAUU
Long non-coding RNA from Amphimedon queenslandica, 376 nucleotides. RefSeq lists it as uncharacterized. The transcript is spliced from 4 exons. The record is from RefSeq and is a predicted model, not a curated record. Lineage: Eukaryota; Metazoa; Porifera; Demospongiae; Haplosclerida; Niphatidae.